AAAAGUAGGGUUUUGGAGAUUCUUUAAUUAAGGGUCCAACCUCAUUCUCUUCGAGGGGUCAUGCUCUCAUUUGCACAUUCAGUCUUCCUUUUCCCUUGAACGCAUUGGCCAGAAGCUCGAAGCUUCUUCCCUUUCUUUUUCCCCUUUUCUCGCGGGCACAGUUAGCGAGGGUGCUGUGAUGGAGGUGGGUGGCCAGCGACGGUACUGCGUUGGCGGCGAGGUCGCGGCAAGGGUGUCCUGAACGGUGGUGUAUCCACGAGCGUUUAAAACUCCAACUUGUUUCUCUCUCUUUCUCGCGAGCAACCAACCUGGAGGGAUUAUUGAUGGCGCUGCGAUGUGGGCGAAAGCAGCGGCAACAUCGAGUUUUGGGUUCAUUUUCGUUCUCUGUUUUUGGGGUUUCCUUCUGGGAUUUGUUUGUUUCUCCUCUACAGGAUUGGUGGUGGGACUUGGAGUUUUGUUUUGGGUGUGAGAUUGGGUUCCGUUUUUGAGAAUUUUAGAUCUCCUGUUUGGGGAUUAGGAUUCCGAGUUGUGAUUUGGGGCUUUCUUCUACCUCUGUUCGUAGCAAUUUGUGGUCCUUUGUUGAUUCUUCUUAGUGAGUUUAAUUCGCGCCUUGAGGUUCUGGUUCUGGAAGUUUUGGAUUAUCCCGUGGUGGUUCUGGGUUUCCGUUGGUGGUGGUUGCACGAGCGGCGGCAAUGGAGGCGCUGGUCGGUGCGGCAUGGAUGUUACGGUGGUUGGCCGAGGAAUCUUUCAUGGGCUUGACUUGAUCUGGGCUGGGUUAAUUGGACCGUAAAAUCCUUUGAGGAACAGAUUUGGAAUUUAUUAUUAUAAAUUCCAAAAAUAAUAAUAAGAAUUUUUUAAUUGGGCUGUAGGCCCAGAGUCUGGCACGGAGGACUGUGAUUGGUUCAGUUUGAACCUACUUGAACUGCAAACCCAGAGUGUCUAGUUGGGGUUGGGUGCAUGGUAUGAGAAGUUUUCUGUUUCAUUGAUAAAAGAUAUUCAUUUUAGAGAAAUGAAAAAACAGUUAGUUAGUGUGGGUGUGAGAGAGUGGAAGGGUCAUGGUCCACCCAGAAUUUGGGAGAGGAAGAUGGUGCUGAAUAUAGAGGGGACCCAACGGCCACCUGGUCAGGAUGAAAGAGGCGGAUUCAGAGUACGUAGCAGUGGUGUUGACGUUGGUUUGGGAAUCACAAGUUCACAACAAACUUUGUUUUUUCCUUUUCCGUUAAAGAGAAAAGAGUCAUUAAGAUAUAAUUUGAAUCAUGUUGUCCGUAGGCUACAUUUCUUGUGUUCCACUUGGAACAGCAUUUUCAUCCCGUCAUCCUUCCUCCUCUGAAAAAAUUUGUUUGAAGCGAUCUUCAAUUCAAAAGACUAGAGCAGUUCAAGUUCGGAGUAAUCUUAUAAGCGAGGGAAACGAAUUAAUUUUUCAGCGAUUCAACUGGAAAUCUCAUGACCAACAUCAGAAGUUGUGGAAUUUCUUAGGAACUAAAAUUCCUGAGAUUGCUAAAUCAGGGUUUUCAUCCGUGUGGUUGCCAGACUCAUUUUCACCAGAAGGUUACACCCCUCAAAACCUUUAUUCUUUAAAUACUAGAUAUGGUUCAGAGGAUGAGUUAAGAACUUUGCUUCAUAAGAUGAAGCAAUAUGAAGUUAGAUCAAUGGCGGAUAUUGUUAUUAAUCAUCGCUGUGGUACGACAAAAGGACAUAGAGGAAUGUACAAUAGAUUCGAUGUCAUCCCUUUAGCAUGGGAUGAACAUGCUGUUACAUCAUCUUCGGGAGGAUUGGUAAGAUGAGUAACCUUUAUUCUAUAACAUUCUUUUUGUUAGAUCUUAAUUCAUACUUGGUUCGUAUUAUUAUAUUCUUGACUUGUUUAUUUCAGGAAAAUCCAAACACUGGCAACAAACUUUUUCUUGGAUUUCCUAUCAUUAAUCACACAAAAGAAUUUGUAAGAAAGGACAUACUUAACUGACUUCGCAGGUUAUGGUUUUGAAGAUUUUCGAUUUGAUUUUGUGAGAGGGUAAGAUAUUAUGUGACAUUAAUUAGUGUAUUGCAUUGUCUGUUUAUUUUUUUCUUAAUCAUGUUAUAUAUCUUUGGUCUGUAUUGUUUAUAUAGGUUUUCAGCAAAAUAUGUGAAAGAAUAUAUUGAGGGAGCAAACCCUUUGUUUUCUAUUGGAGAGUAUUGCGAUGACUGUAACUAUCAACAUUCUUAUUUGGACUAUAAUCAAGGUAUUCCUGCUUAAUCUUAAGUAAAUAAUUUUUAUUUAGUUUUGAAUUUUCUAAACACUAUUAUCAAUAUUUGCAGACAGUCAUAGACAAGAUAUAAUUAAUUGGAUAGAUGGCACGGGACAGCUUUCAACUGCCUUUGAUUUUACUACCAAAGGAAUUCUUCAGGUAUAUUGUACUUAGUUGGUACUGAAUAAGUUAAUUUUUGCAAGAAGAUCAAUUGACAAGCAAAAAUCAACUUAUUCAGUAUCAACUAAAUACAAUAUACCUGAAGAAUUUCUUUGGUAGUAAAAUCAAAGGCAGUUGAAAGCUGUCCCGUGCCAUCUAUCCAAUUAAUUAUAUCUUGUCUAUGACUGUCUGCAAAUAUUGAUAGUAGUGUUUAGAAAAUUCAAAACUAACUAAAAAUUAUUUACUUAAGAUUAAGCAGGAGUACCUUGAUUAUAGUCCAAAUAAGAAUGUUGAUAGUUACAGUCAUCCCAAUACUCUCCAACAGAAAACAAAGGGUUUGCUCACUCAAUAUAUUCUUUCACAUAUUUUGCUGAAAACCUAUAUAAACAAUACAGACCAAAGGUAUAUAUAACAUGAUUAAGAAAAAAAUAAACAGACAAUGCAAUACACUAAUUAAUGUCACAUAAUAUCUUACCCUCUCACAAAAUCAAAUCGAAAAUCUUUAAAACCAACAUCAUGACGUAACCAGCGAAGCCAGUUAAGUAUGUCCUUUCUUACAAAUUCUUUUGUGUGAUCAAUGUUAGGAAAUCCAGAAAAAAGUUUGUUGCCAGUGUUUGGAUUUCCCUGAAAUAAACAAGUCAAGAAUAUAAUAAUACGAACCAAGUAUGAAUUAAGAUCUAACAAAAAGAAUGUUAUAGAAUAAAGGUUACUCAUCUUAUCAAUCCUCCCGAAGAUGAUGUAACAGCAUGUUCAUCCCAUGCUAAAGGGAUGUCAUCGAAUCUAUUGUACAUUCCUCCAUGUCCUUUUGUCGUAUCACAACGAUGAUUAAUAACAAUAUCCGCCAUUGAUCUAACUUCAUAUUGCUUCAUCUUAUGAAGCAAAGUUCUUAACUCAUCCUCUGAACCAUAUCUAGUAUUUAAAGAAUAAAAGUUUUGAGGAGUGUAACCUGUUUGUAGUAAUAAACUUAAAUAGCUUUCAACUGCCUUUGAUUUUACUACCAAAGGAAUUAUUCAGGUAUAUUGUACUUAGUUGGUACUGAAUAAGUUUAUUUUUGCAUGCCAAUUGAUCUUCUUGUUUUAAUUUGUAUGAAGCGGUUAAAUGAGAGUUUUGGCAGCUUCGUGAUGCUCAAGGAAAGCCACCAGGUGUGAUGGGGUGGUGGGCAUCAAGAUCUGUUACGUUUCUUGAUAACCAUGACACAGGCUCAAGCUAGAAUCAUUGGCCAUCCCCGAAAGACCAUAUUAUGGAGGGAUAUGCAUAUAUAUUGACCCAUCCAGGAAUACCAACGGUAAUUUUUGACCAUUUGUAUGGGGAGAACGCACAUCUGCAAUCAAUCGUGAAAUUGAAUUAUAGAGGCCAAACAUGACCUCUAUUCUGCCGUGAUAGAUGAGAAACUCUCUAUGAAGAUUGGAGAGAAGCUCUCUAUGAAGAUUGGAGAGGGUUCGUGGUGUCCUGGAGAGGAUGGACAAUUUCAACAUCUGGCCACAACUAUGCUGUGUGGCAUAAGGCUAAUCAUUGAGAGAUCGCAUGAUACAUCCUCAGCCGUUUAUAGAAAAUCUAGGCAACUUAUCUUUAUAUUUGUAAGACAUUAAUCAAAUCAGGGUUUUCAAUAGCCUUUCUUUUAUUGUGGAUUUAUAUUUUGUACUUUUUUUUAAGUUUAUUUCAAGGAGCUGCUCCUGUAGCUCAGGGACAGAAGAAAUCUUAGAUCCCAAGUUAUCUUGUGAUGCAGAGGAACCGAGACGAAUGGCUUUGGAAAUUGAUUAGUCAUAGUCUUGCAUUGCCCUUUA
Vigna angularis (adzuki bean) is the source of this 4165-nucleotide long non-coding RNA. RefSeq lists it as uncharacterized. The transcript has 11 exons. The record is from RefSeq and is a predicted model, not a curated record. Lineage: Eukaryota; Viridiplantae; Streptophyta; Magnoliopsida; Fabales; Fabaceae.